RNAcentral lists this ribosomal RNA (443 nucleotides) under uncultured bacterium. Its description in RNAcentral is "SSU rRNA". It matches the Rfam family "Bacterial small subunit ribosomal RNA", at positions 26 to 518 of the family's 1533-position model. The record is from RNAcentral.
AGAACGAACGCUGGCGGCAGGCUUAACACAUGCAAGUCGAGCGCCCCGCAAGGGGAGCGGCAGACGGGUGAGUAACGCGUGGGAACAUACCCUCCGGUUCGGAACAACACAGGGAAACUUGUGCUAAUACCGGAUAAGCCCUUACGGGGAAAGAUUUAUCGCCGAAAGAUCGGCCCGCGUCUGAUUGGCUAGUUGGUGUGGUAACGGCGCACCAAGGCGACGAUCAGUAGCUGGUCUGAGAGGAUGAUCAGCCACAUUGGGACUGAGACACGGCCCAAACUCCUACGGGAGGCAGCAGUGGGGAAUAUUGGACAAUGGGCGCAAGCCUGAUCCAGCCAUGCCGCGUGAGUGAUGAAGGCCCUAGGGUUGUAAAGCUCUUUGUGCGGGAAGAUAAUGACGGUACCGCAAGAAUAAGCCCCGGAUAACUCGUGCCAGCAGCCGAC